AUGGACACACACAACCAUCUCAAAGACGAUCUUCAUUACACCCAAAAUACACAAAAGCUUACAGUGGCACAGCACACAGAGCUCAGAUGGAAGAGGAUGCCAGACCAUGUAAAAACAGGACGCAGUUUGGCCCAGAAGUUUUUUCCUGAGACAUGGGAGGAAGGUUUUCAAUUCAAGCCACAAUUAAAUCACCUGUCCACUGCCCGUGGGAGCUGCGUGAAGUCCCUCUGAGAAAUAAUCUCCAUCUCUAACCAGGGCUGGAGCCCACGAGUGUGUCAGAAGAGACUGUAGAGUGAGUGUUAGAGCUGUCAUAGCUGCUAUUACAGUCAUUCUGAAUGUGUAUGGUCCAUUCUCUGCCUGACUUUUAUAGUUUCAUUUGAAACGGUUUCUUCUGAACUGUCAAUAAAUCACUGACUGAAGGCUCGAAGUACCACAGAGCAGCUCUUCCCAAAAGAAUAUACAGUCUGAUGUGUGUAAAAUGUGAUACAUUGUGUAAUAAAUCACACAAUUCAGUUAAAAAACAAAACAAUUGACAUUAAUACUGUUAAUAUUGCACCCUCAGAUUCCAGAUUUUCAAAUAGUUGUAUCUCGGCCAAAUAUUGUCCUAUCCUAACAAACCAUACAUCAAUGGAAAGCUUAUUUAUUUAUUAAUCAAUUUUAUAAAAUUGACCCUUAUGACUGGUUUUGUGGUCCAGGGUCACAUAUGUAUGUAUAAAUUCACAUUUCUCUUUCAAAACAUGUUUUGUGCAACAAUCAUUUGAAGUGUUUUGUGGCUGAAGGUCAGUUCAAACAGGGCUUUACAGUAAAUAUUACAAAACAG
Molecule: long non-coding RNA, 820 nt
Filed under: Sinocyclocheilus grahami
Lineage: Eukaryota; Metazoa; Chordata; Actinopteri; Cypriniformes; Cyprinidae
Description: lncRNA (ENSSGRG00000019032.1)
Source: RNAcentral